Molecule: non-coding RNA, 69 nt
Organism: Podarcis lilfordi (Lilford's wall lizard)
Lineage: Eukaryota; Metazoa; Chordata; Lepidosauria; Squamata; Lacertidae
Source: the annotation of a GenBank genome assembly
GCCAUAGCUCAUUGCUGGAACAUUUGCUUUGCAUGCAGAAGGUCCCAGAUUCAAUUCCUGGUAUCUCCA